GAGCGUUUGUGCUCUGCUGGCAGCCUGUGUGGGGUGACCGCCCCCGCUAGCGGGGUGUGGGUCGAGGUGCCCCGGACUGGGAGAGAAGGAGCCUCCCUCGGCCGUAGGGAUGGGGGCUGCCCUGUAAGUCAGGGAGCAUCUGUGUCCCGGAGUCCCAGGCCCUUUUCGAUGGCGGCAGUGGCCGGGGGUCCCCUGUAAGCAGGGAAGCUGACUCUUUGGCUGCCUGCUUUUUGUGUGCCCAGCCCCAUUUGCCCAGUCUGCCCGCCUCUGUGAUCCCCCGCAGCACUGGCUGGAAGUCCGCCGCGUGUCAGUGAGGAGCUGCUGCAGAAGAAAGAAGAAGCGGCGUGGGGACCUGGGCUGCAAA
Molecule: long non-coding RNA, 364 nt
Filed under: Gallus gallus (chicken)
Lineage: Eukaryota; Metazoa; Chordata; Aves; Galliformes; Phasianidae
Source: RNAcentral